AGGCAAAAGCGGUCCGGCUCCAGCCUGCAAGAGUGGCGCAGCUCCACGCAAGCCCACGGGCCUUUCUGCCCCUUCAGAAUAUUCUCGACGGGAGCCGCUGGAAGAGGUGAUCCACUCGCCGUCUUCGUCCCUUAACGUGUCAGAAGAGUUUUUAACUCCGGACCCCGACUAUUUUUUGAGCAGUUCCGCUCCUCACGAGCCUUCAGAAUUGGAAUAUUCAACGGCCGAGGAAGAGGAGGGAGGUAAUAUUCUAGGAAGAACAGAAGAAAUUUUUGGGCAGAAGGAAAAGUUGAGAAAACCUCCAGGAAUCUGGGCUCAGAAAGAACAUCCCAUCAAUUCAGGGCAGAGACGAGAGUGUUCCUUUGGGACAGGCACGCAAUAUAUCCAUGACAACCUGCCAAGGAGAGAUCUAUUUACUUCUCUAAACGGCCCCGGGGCAGCGCAACACGGAAGUCUCGGUGAGCCUCCAAGAGAAUUCGGAGCAGAAGAAACAUCCCUUGGAGAUAUUCAAGAAAUAUCUAGCAUCAUCUGCAAGGAUCCGGCGAAGACGUCAGCUGUGAAAACUCCCAGAAAUUCUAAUUCCCCCAUUAAGACCAGC
Molecule: non-coding RNA, 598 nt
Organism: Pseudonaja textilis
Lineage: Eukaryota; Metazoa; Chordata; Lepidosauria; Squamata; Elapidae
Source: RefSeq, a predicted model, not a curated record